CCUACGGGCGGCAGCAGUGGGGAAUAUUGCACAAUGAGCGCAAGCCUGAUGCAGCCAUGCCGCGUGGAUGAAGAAGGCCUUCGGGUUGUAAAGUACUUUCAGUCGUGAGGAAGGUGUUAAGGUUAAUAACCUUAGCAAUUGACGUUAGCGACAGAAGAAGCACCGGCUAACUCCGGGCCAGCAGCCGCGGUAGUACGGAGGGUGCGAGCGUUAAUCGGAAUUACUCGGCGUAAAGGGCAAGCAGGCGGUUAAUUAACUUGGAUGUGACAUGCCCGGGCUUAAACUGGGAAUGGCAAUCAAGACUGGUUAGCUAGAGUCUUGUAGAGGGGGGUAGAAGUCCAUGUGUAGAGGUGAAAUUCGUAGAGAUGGUAAUGCAUACCGGUGGCGAAGACUGCCCCCUGGACAAAGACUGACGCUCAUGUGCGAAAGCUUGGGAAGCAAACAGGAUUAGAUACGCUGGUAGGC
RNAcentral lists this ribosomal RNA (465 nucleotides) under uncultured Arsenophonus sp. RNAcentral describes it as "bacterial SSU rRNA". It matches the Rfam family "Bacterial small subunit ribosomal RNA", at positions 338 to 795 of the family's 1533-position model. The record is from RNAcentral. Lineage: Bacteria; Pseudomonadati; Pseudomonadota; Gammaproteobacteria; Enterobacterales; Morganellaceae.